GAUGAACGCUGGCGGCGUGCCUAAUACAUGCAAGUCGAGCGAACGGACGAGAAGCUUGCUUCUCUGAUGUUAGCGGCGGACGGGUGAGUAACACGUGGAUAACCUACCUAUAAGACUGGGUUAACUUCGUGAAACCGGAGCUAAUACCGGAUGAUAUUUUGAACCGCAUGGUUCAAAAGUGAAAGACGGUCUUGCUGUCACUUAUAGAUGGAUCCGCGCUGCAUUAGCUAGUUGGUAAGGUAACGGCUUACCAAGGCAACGAUGCAUAGCCGACCUGAGAGGGUGAUCGGCCACACUGGAACUGAGACACGGUCCAGACUCCUACGGGAGGCAGCAGUAGGGAAUCUUCCGCAAUGGGCGAAAGCCUGACGGAGCAACGCCGCGUGAGUGAUGAAGGUCUUCGGAUCGUAAAACUCUGUUAUUAGGGAAGAACAUAUGUGUAAGUAACUGUGCACAUCUUGACGGUACCUAAUCAGAAAGCCACGGCUAACUACGUG
Molecule: ribosomal RNA, 497 nt
Filed under: uncultured bacterium
Lineage: Bacteria
Description: partial 16S ribosomal RNA
Rfam family: Bacterial small subunit ribosomal RNA
Source: RNAcentral